This is a long non-coding RNA of Pseudophryne corroboree (corroboree frog), 522 nucleotides long. RefSeq lists it as uncharacterized. Lineage: Eukaryota; Metazoa; Chordata; Amphibia; Anura; Myobatrachidae. The record is from RefSeq and is a predicted model, not a curated record. The transcript is spliced from 2 exons.
CACGAGAAUAAAACUGUUGGGUCCCGGCGGAAGGAUACGGGGACUCGGGGAAAGGAGGUGAAGGGGAGUGAGGACUGGUCGGUUGGCAGUUGAGCAACGGAAGAGAGAGGGUCUGAGCUAACGAAGCAGGGGAAGCGCUGUAAGGCUACGGAGCUUGAGGACAGGGUUUGGUCUCCCUUCGCGAUCAGCGACUCUCACCCGGUGUUUGGCACCCAGCAGCAGUAGCAAUGUGAGCUCUCCCUCGGCAGCAGUGAGCGGAAAAUCCACGCCGGCGGGACCCGGGACGCAAGCCUCCAGCAGCGGUGGUGAGGAGCUGAGCUGAGGCGGCUGGCAGUGACGCAGAGAUCCGGAGGGAGAGGAGAGGAGCGGCCUGUUGACUCAGGAUCAUCCACAGCAGAAGCAUCACAGAGUAACCUGAUGGGGCCAGUAAGAGGAGAAGAACAACAACCAAUGCUGAAUCCAAGUUUGCAAGAUUUAUUCUAGCAUCAACAUCAUAUAGUGAUAAAAAUAUUUCCUUCUCAA